This 492-nucleotide ribosomal RNA is filed under the name uncultured bacterium. RNAcentral's name for it is "partial 16S ribosomal RNA". It matches the Rfam family "Bacterial small subunit ribosomal RNA", at positions 29 to 507 of the family's 1533-position model. The record is from RNAcentral.
AGUGAACGCUGGCGGUAGGCCUAACACAUGCAAGUCGAACGGCAGCACAGUAAGAGCUUGCUCUUACGGGUGGCGAGUGGCGGACGGGUGAGGAAUACAUCGGAAUCUACUUUUUCGUGGGGGAUAACGUAGGGAAACUUACGCUAAUACCGCAUACGACCUACGGGUGAAAGCAGGGGAUCUUCGGACCUUGCGCGAUUGAAUGAGCCGAUAUCGGAUUAGCUAGUUGGCGGGGUAAAGGCCCGCCAAGGCGACGAUCCGUAGCUGGUCUGAGAGGAUGAUCAGCCACACUGGAACUGAGACACGGUCCAGACUCCUACGGGAGGCAGCAGUGGGGAAUAUUGGACAAUGGGCGCAAGCCUGAUCCAGCCAUACCGCGUGGGUGAAGAAGGCCUUCGGGUUGUAAAGCCCUUUUGUUGGGAAAGAAAAGCAGCAGGUUAAUACCCCGCUGUUCUGACGGUACCCAAAGAAUAAGCACCGGCUAACUUCGUG